RNAcentral lists this small nuclear RNA (135 nucleotides) under Neolecta irregularis DAH-3. RNAcentral describes it as "U4 spliceosomal RNA". It matches the Rfam family "U4 spliceosomal RNA". Rfam says of the family: U4 small nuclear RNA (U4 snRNA) is a component of the major U2-dependent spliceosome. The structure of U4 snRNA from yeast and human has been reported. Lineage: Eukaryota; Fungi; Ascomycota; Neolectomycetes; Neolectales; Neolectaceae. The record is from Rfam by way of RNAcentral.
AUCCUUGUGCUAGGGUUUUAAGCGUGACGUUGAAGGGCAACCUGAGUCCGUUUUAUUGCUGAUUGAAAACUAUUUCAUGACCGCUCGCCGUAUCCUUCGGGAUAUGGUGGAAUCUUUGGAAAAACCUAUUUUGUU